UACUUCCGGUAUGUCUCACAGGGGAAACACAAACCAAGCUCGGUGAAAAAGUGGCGUGCACAAUCUGACAACUUUGUACAGUACAAUUGUACGUGCACAGUGAACCUCAACAACCUGUCAAUAGUGGAUCUUUUUCUCCUGGAUCUCGCUGCUUCAGUGGCCAAAAUACUGCAAGGAUACGGCAGGCCGUGGAGCAGCUAAGUAGUAAUCACAGAUCCUGCUGCCUGGCUGUCAGCUGGGAUUGUCUGUCUGCUCCAGAAGGAGUGCUCAAAGCAACACGGGUGACUCCACAGAGUUUGAAGGAUGCUAAAUAUCUGCUGCACGACUUUCAUGUGCAUCUGUCACAAACAUUAGUUUAUGAUACUUUUUCAUUGUUCCUUUUGUUCGUCUAUUUGUAGACCAGUGUGGACCAAUACAACGCACUUCGAAAAACAAAACAAGGGAAACAUUACAUGAAAUACAAACUAAAGCCGUGCUGUAAUUAAAUCGCAGCUGCUCAGUCUUUAAACAUCGCUGCAAGUUGGGACUGUCUGCUAGUUUCAGAGGACAGCAUCAACACCCCCACUUUCAGCAUGAGUGAGUUAACAGACUUUGAUAGAGGCCAAAUUAUUGGUGCCCAGCUUGCAGGUCUGUCAGUCAGAAAAACUGCCCAAUUAUGUGAUGUAUCAAGUCAGACUGUCAUCAAAGUUACGAGUGUUUAUAACAAAUACGGACACACUCCAUCAGCUAAGAAGAGCAGUCGGCACAAGCCACAGACAAAAAGGAUAAGAGUGACAAAAGGUGGUGCUAAUGGAGGAGCUGGCAGUGAGAAACCUGUACCUGACCCUGAGGUCAACAUGAAAAAUUCUGAUGAAGACAGCAAAAGACCUGAAUCCCAGACCGAAGAGCAGGAGUAGUAUGGUCUGAUAAACUGUACUUCUCUGGCUUCUUUUGGGUGGUUAUUAUCUACAUAAAGCCACCAGAUGGCUUCACUUUUGUUUUUGAGCCAUUCUAUCGGCUAAGAACACACUCUCCUGUUUUGAAAGCAGUGAGUUUUGCUACGUGUGCUGGCAUUAAGAAGAGAAGUGAAGAAGUCGAAGUGGACCUGUUUUGGUAAUUCAUCUUCAAAAUAUAGGUUACUUUUUUAUGUGCUUGUGGAACAGUGUUACCAUUGCAUCUAUAGUGUGCAGUGAUUUCAGUGAUAGAAAAUGCAUAUAUGGUCUCAUGCUAGUCUCUGCUGUUCUUUUCCUGUGUUGGGUCUUUGUUCUGACCACAAGUUUAGUAUGCAUGUCGACCCCCUGUUUUUGUUUUGUUACUGUAGUUUGAUCUUUGACCGUCAGUCUCUGUCAUGACCAUCAGAAUGAAGAACACUGUGGCUGUUGACUGCUUCAAAAACGAACUUUAGAAAAUGCUUAAUGCAGCUUGUGCCACCUGUGAAGAAUUGCUCAGCUAUCUAGUUUUCUGCAGUUAAGCGAUGUAAAGCAGCAGUCAUAGCGCUUUAUUCUGAAAGGCUCGGACCAGAAGUACUAGUUCUCUCCCUGGGGAAGCACAGGCACAGCGCUGUGAUAAAGUAGCGGUGGAAAGAUUGACUCCGUUGUUCAGUUUAAGUUGCAAAGGGAACCUGCACAACCUCUCAGCAGGAGAUCUGUCUUCCCCUCGUCCCAGCUUCAGUGUGCAAAAUACUGCAAGAACCAGACUGAGGACUUUGGAUCAGCUAAGUGGUGACUACAGAUCCUGCUUCCUGGCUGUCAGGUGGUAUUGUCUGCCUCCUGUGGAAGGAGUGUUCAAAGGAACAUGAGUGACUUAACAGAGUUUGAAAGGUGCCAAAUAGUUGCUGCACGACUUUCAGGCGCGUCCGUCACAAAAACUGCACAGCUGUUUAAUGUGGCGAGAGGGACGGUCUCCAGAGUCAUGACUGUAUACAUCAAACAUGGACGAACAGCAUCAGCAAAGAAAAACAGCGGGCGCAAGUCAAAGCUGUCCGAAAAGGAUAGACAGACACUUCUCAGAAUGGUUGAUGAACACCCUGAGUAUACGGCUUCAAAAAUAACCACAGAGUUGAAUAGACACCUCUCUCACACUGUUUCAGUAAAAACUAUAAGGCGUGAGCUUCACAAAGCUGGUAUUUUUAGAGGAGCAGCCAAUAGGAAACCCGAGACGGAGACUGACACACAAAAGCCAGAUGAAGAGAACACUGAAUAUGCACCUGACACACAUAAACCUGGUGAACGGAUCGCAAGACCUGAUAUGCAAACGACAAAUGACAAAGAGCGCGGCUCACAGAAGCCUGCGGAAGACAGAGCAAUGUCCCAACCCCAGGUGAGCGUCAAAGAGUACGACACAGAAAAAUCUGAAGAAAGAAUAUAACCUGAAGCCCAAGUCAGUGAAGAAGACUACAGCACACAAAAGCUUGAUGAAGAGGGCACGGGGUCUGGAUCCCAGACAAGUGAAAAGGAAUGAAAUGAUGACCUUUCCAACAUCCAGAUUGGUUGUUUAAGUGAAAACCACAGAAAAUCAUUCACCCUUUAAUGUUGCCAACUGCUUAUUCUGUGAUGACAUUUACAUUUUUAGAUUUGAUUCUUUAUUUUAGAGUGUCUCAUGGCGCAAUGUUCAGGCUUUUGUCAAGUGUUUUCAAUUUUUGUGUCUUAAAAGCAAAAGUGAAUUAAAUGUAGGCUGUCUGGAGUUUGCCAAAAUAGCUGAAAAUAUGCAAACUGUAGAUGUUUAUGUAUAUGAUGUUUACGUAUGCUCUAUAUUAUGAUAUUGUCCACUGCAAAGCACUCACUAUGAUGCAGAUUAUGUUUCUAAUUCGUAGACGAAUGUCAUGCUGAAAUGAUAUCUGCGGUUUCACAACAUAUCUGAUUUUCUGUGUUGUACUGCAAGCAAACAACUACAAUCCCACAAGAGUAUGAGAAUAUAACUAUUGAAGUCACUGUGGGGGGAAAAAAAAAUGAGUAUUUUAUUUUAUUCCACAAUAUGUCCGGUUCUCAGUAGUAGAGCUCGAUAAUGUGCGUCUCGGAGAUGUCUUUUCAGGUUUCUCAGGCUAUCGUGCUCAGAUUCAGUGGUUGCUGCUCUCAUGUUCUGCCCCAGCUUCACCAAGGCCCUGCACAAAUUGAAACUCCGGGCUUCCAGUCAUCCCUUCAGCAGCCCAUGAAAAGAUGCGGCAGGGAUGGGAGUAGGAGGCAAAGUGUCAGACAACGUGUAGUGUUUCUACAGCAUUUUAGAACAUUGCACAAAAGUUGUCUGUACUUUCUGUGGCGAUGUUUGAUUUGUCAGCAAAAUAAAGGAUGAAUGAAUUUUGCAUUGUUGCCUAACGCAUAGUGUGCAUGUCUUUGCAAAAUGAUGAUCAUUUUCAAAAUCUGAAUAUAAAAAGUGUUUUUUUUUUUUUUUUUACAAUAACCGUCCAUAAAUAUCAAAAAUCAAAUACCAUAAUUUCAGUUUGUCUUUUAUUGGUUUGGUAUUGAUUACAGAAUUUGCAAAAACUAAUAAACUGUUGAUUUAAAAAGGC
This is a long non-coding RNA of Scatophagus argus, 3484 nucleotides long. RefSeq lists it as uncharacterized. NCBI's taxonomy places the organism in Eukaryota, Metazoa, Chordata, Actinopteri, Scatophagidae. The transcript has 4 exons. The record is from RefSeq and is a predicted model, not a curated record.